Folsomia candida is the source of this 111-nucleotide regulatory RNA element. It matches the Rfam family "Potassium channel RNA editing signal". Rfam says of the family: This family represents a group of sequences related to the human potassium channel Kv1.1 hairpin element which directs the efficient modification of an adenosine to inosine by an adenosine deaminase acting on RNA (ADAR). The ADAR modification causes an isoleucine/valine recoding event which lies in the ion-conducting pore of the potassium channel. The record is from Rfam. Lineage: Eukaryota; Metazoa; Arthropoda; Collembola; Entomobryomorpha; Isotomidae.
UUUGCCUAUCAAAACAGGCCCGUGGGGGUGUGGGGAAAAAUAGUCGGAUCCUUAUGUGCCAUCGCGGGAGUGUUGACAAUCGCAUUACCUGUGCCUGUUAUAGUUUCCAAU